RNAcentral lists this ribosomal RNA (708 nucleotides) under uncultured bacterium. RNAcentral's name for it is "bacterial SSU rRNA". It matches the Rfam family "Bacterial small subunit ribosomal RNA", at positions 79 to 784 of the family's 1533-position model. The record is from RNAcentral.
CUUGCUUCUCUUGAGAGCGGCGGACGGGUGAGUAAUGCCUAGGAAUCUGCCUGGUAGUGGGGGAUAACGUCCGGAAACGGACGCUAAUACCGCAUACGUCCUACGGGAGAAAGCAGGGGACCUUCGGGCCUUGCGCUAUCAGAUGAGCCUAGGUCGGAUUAGCUAGUUGGUGGGGUAAUGGCUCACCAAGGCGACGAUCCGUAACUGGUCUGAGAGGAUGAUCAGUCACACUGGAACUGAGACACGGUCCAGACUCCUACGGGAGGCAGCAGUGGGGAAUAUUGGACAAUGGGCGAAAGCCUGAUCCAGCCAUGCCGCGUGUGUGAAGAAGGUCUUCGGAUUGUAAAGCACUUUAAGUUGGGAGGAAGGGCAGUAAAUUAAUACUUUGCUGUUUUGACGUUACCGACAGAAUAAGCACCGGCUAACUCUGUGCCAGCAGCCGCGGUAAUACAGAGGGUGCAAGCGUUAAUCGGAAUUACUGGGCGUAAAGCGCGCGUAGGUGGUUCGUUAAGUUGGAUGUGAAAUCCCCGGGCUCAACCUGGGAACUACAUUCAAAACUGACGAGCUAGAGUAUGGUAGAGGGUGGUGGAAUUUCCUGUGUAGCGGUGAAAUGCGUAGAUAUAGGAAGGAACACCAGUGGCGAAGCGACCACCUGGACUGAUACUGACACUGAGGUGCGAAAGCGUGGGGAGCAAACAGGAUUAGAUA